GUUCGCUGCCGCAUAGGCAGCUCAGAAA
Molecule: non-coding RNA, 28 nt
Organism: Delftia acidovorans SPH-1
Lineage: Bacteria; Pseudomonadati; Pseudomonadota; Betaproteobacteria; Burkholderiales; Comamonadaceae
Source: Rfam